AGUAAUAUCCUCGUAGUUUGCCAGCAUGUGGGGCCACCAUAACAGGUGAUGACUUCAUCAUGUAAGCUAAGAAGAGGAAUUGAUUGAUGAGGAAACUGAGGUGGAACACAUGCAGACAUUACUAAUCUACGUAGACCUAGAUCUAUGAUACCUUCAAUUGCUGCUAUAUCAUUUGAUAUCAUGGUGAUAGGAACUGAAUUGAGAAGAAAUCGUGGUCAGAUGUCAUGGAAUUAAUUUGAGAAUAUGGCGAGCAUAUCCAUGCACUAUACAGUUUGAGAUGAAAUUGUUAACCUGAUUUUCCUGAAUUUUGAGGUGAGCUCUAGUCAGAUGUACUUCAAUUUUGGUAAGGUUUAUUCUAAGUUAUUACUUAUAUCUUGUCUUUCAAAUAUUCUUCUUAUCUGUAUUGAUGGAAGAGGCCAGCAAAUGAUAUUCUAUCUAAUUUUUAAUUCUUGUAAUUAAUACCAAUAAACACUUCAAUUAUUCAA
This is a long non-coding RNA of Coccinella septempunctata (seven-spotted ladybird), 485 nucleotides long. RefSeq lists it as uncharacterized. The record is from RefSeq and is a predicted model, not a curated record. The transcript is spliced from 7 exons. Lineage: Eukaryota; Metazoa; Arthropoda; Insecta; Coleoptera; Coccinellidae.